This is a non-coding RNA of Electrophorus electricus (electric eel), 330 nucleotides long. Lineage: Eukaryota; Metazoa; Chordata; Actinopteri; Gymnotiformes; Gymnotidae. The record is from RefSeq and is a predicted model, not a curated record.
CUACAGCGUGCCGUCCUUUGAGAUCUUCCAGACGUGUGGAGUCUGACAUUUGGCAGCGAGACUCGGCGUGCUUGCGGCCAGUCAAAUGACUUCUGCUGGAAGGUGGAUGACAGAUGGUGAAUGGCAUAACCUUGCUCAUGCCCCGGUGUAGUUCCUCUGAUGGUACGUCGCACAGCUUGCCACUGAAAACCAAUCAGUCAGAACUGGAGAGCCCGGUGUGGCACAGAUGAGGAGCCGUGCAUCAGGAAAAUAACAAAAUUAAAAGUACACUUCCCCUUUUAAACCAGUUAUUUAUUUUUCUGGAGAGAAAGAGUGAGUGAGUGACUGAGU